UACGAAGGGGGCUAGCGUUGUUCGGAAUUACUGGGCGUAAAGGGCGCGUAGGCGGCUUGGCAAGUCGGAUGUGAAAUCCCUCGGCUCAACCAAGGAAGUGCAUCCGAAACUGCUGAGCUUGAGUACUUAAGAGGAUCGCGGAAUUCCCGGUGUAGAGGUGAAAUUCGUAGAUAUCGGGAGGAACACCAGUGGCGAAGGCGGCGAUCUGGGAAGAUACUGACGCUGAGGUGCGAAAGCGUGGGGAGCAAACAGG
This 253-nucleotide ribosomal RNA is filed under the name uncultured bacterium. RNAcentral describes it as "partial 16S ribosomal RNA". It matches the Rfam family "Bacterial small subunit ribosomal RNA", at positions 524 to 776 of the family's 1533-position model. The record is from RNAcentral.